UGGCAUUUCUUUAUGUGACAUCCCAUAGC
RNAcentral lists this non-coding RNA (29 nucleotides) under Mus musculus (house mouse). Lineage: Eukaryota; Metazoa; Chordata; Mammalia; Rodentia; Muridae. The record is from RNAcentral.